CAGUUGUGUGAGGUCUGCUGCUUC
This 24-nucleotide non-coding RNA is filed under the name Arabidopsis thaliana (thale cress). Lineage: Eukaryota; Viridiplantae; Streptophyta; Magnoliopsida; Brassicales; Brassicaceae. The record is from RNAcentral.